Long non-coding RNA from Pseudophryne corroboree (corroboree frog), 1575 nucleotides. RefSeq lists it as uncharacterized. The record is from RefSeq and is a predicted model, not a curated record. Lineage: Eukaryota; Metazoa; Chordata; Amphibia; Anura; Myobatrachidae. The transcript is spliced from 3 exons.
AGUGUUAGAAAAAAGCAGUACUACUCGACGGCCAGUAACUCCUAUCACAUCUGAUGAUGAUGAUGCUGCAGAAGCAGGUCCAUCAAAAGAAGUAUGGAGCAGCAGAAGUGGGACUUCUGUAAGACAUCACAACAAAAAACCUGUGGCCGAAAAGAAAGCAAGGUCGUAUGUCCCGGGCCAACCACAGCAGGCUACCCCACCAUGAAGAUUAUCGUCCGUAUGUUCUGUCCCCCCACUCCAAAUUUUGGACACACCUCCAAGACGUCAUCCACACUCCCCUCAUCUUGAUUCUUCUAGUCCUGGGAACAGCAUCCCUCCGCAACAACAGCAACACAGUGACAUGGAGGAGACAAACAUCUUAGAAAUGCAGCCAUUAAUGCAAGGAAUGAGCCCCCCAGCACCUGUGAGUAUGCCACCACAGCAAAGCACACCACCACCACAACACAGCCCAACAACACCAGAAACACAAGGCCCUGAUCAGGUGUUGGUCCAUUUGGGCUAGACAGCAGGCCACUAAUGAAGAUUGCCUGCGUAAGCAGACACAAAUGUUUGCAAGCCUACCAUCUCACCUCAGAAGAAUAUCAAGAAAUCUGAGUAGACAAAAUGAACAAACAACCAGAAUAGGCAAUACCAUGGAACUCAUGCGUACAGACAUUACACAGGUCAUGGACAACUUUCAGCACAUAAUGGAAGAACAGCACAGACAACAGCAAAGUUAUAUGAGCAUUUUUCAAAACAAUCAAAAGAUUAAUGAAAGUUUAUUCCGAAUAGUAAACAAUCAAAAUGCUGCUACACGUGAACUCAAUGCCACCCUCACUAACCUGAAUGAAACACUCAGAUGCAUGCACCAACAGCAAACAAGCAGCAGUUCUGGUACGACUACUCCAAAUAUCACGCCAGUGUCAUCACCACCAAGACGCUCCACCAGAGCACAACAAUAUGACAGUGCUAAAGGUAAAGGGCAGGACACGCAGCCACAAAAAAAACGUGAAAAAAAUUCAAGUUAGACAUUUGUGAUAAGUAACUCAAAAUAGUUAGUAAGUGUAUUUUUGGAUAAAAAUAUAUAACACUUAGCUCCUUGACACUUUUUUCAACAUCAUCAAUUAUAAGUGGUACAAACAAAAAGAUAAAAUUUGUACGCACAUUUAUUCUUUACCAUUUUUUUUGGUAUUGGAGGAGGGAAAUGUUGAUGGAGCCACACAUACAUGUUAGCAGGAAGUAAACUGACCACUUGAUUUUUUUUCUAAUCAUUACUCUUUCUAGAUUCCAAUCAUUCUCUUUCCCUGCAGACACAAUAGUUGCCAGCCAGGCAGAAUGUCUUUAGCAGGAAGUAAACUGACCACUUGAUUUUUUUCUAAUCAUUACUCUUUCUAGAUUCCAAUCAAUCUCAAUCCCUGCAGACAAUCCAAAUUACAAUGUUAUUGAUACAUAUUUUAGCUUUAUUCUCUAUACAACAUUACAAGAAGAACACAAUUGAGUUGCGUAAAAAGCUUGUAAUAUGUUGGCUUUGUUUUGUUUUAAAAACAUUGACAAAAUGAAUGUCAGUAUUGAUGGGACAUGUUUGUGUGUGUUAAA